This is a long non-coding RNA of Bombus terrestris (buff-tailed bumblebee), 1667 nucleotides long. RefSeq lists it as uncharacterized. The record is from RefSeq and is a predicted model, not a curated record. The transcript has 3 exons. Lineage: Eukaryota; Metazoa; Arthropoda; Insecta; Hymenoptera; Apidae.
GGCACCGUGAAAACGAGCCGAACGGUGUUCUCGUCGAGAGCCUCGAGGAUCUGCACGGUGACCUCGUCCAAGGAGGAAGCAACAGGGUAUCCAGGAAUGGCACCAGGCAAUGGAAAGCCCGCUGGCACGUUGUGCUCCAUACCUGGAUUUCACGAACAAAGGGACUCGAGACCAUGUGGAACAACGAAGAAACGAAAGUUAAUGGAAGAAAAAGGCGAAUCAUUCACGAAUUCCAUAAAAGAUUGUUGCUGAACAGGGACGAACCUGACUGGUUGGGCGUUUGUGCUGCGAACGGAUGAUUCAAAGUUUCGCAAUCUGGAUGAUCUGCGCUGCGUUCGAUCGUAGCCAUUGUCUACGUUUUCUUUUUCUGCUGGUAUCGAACCUCGCGCAAAUGUCGAGACUCGUGCACAACUAAUGGUUUCAAUCUCGAGGAAGUAAUUGAAGAAAUCACGAUACCGGAAUGCGAAAGGCAAAUCGUAUUGUCAUCGACGCUUCGACACGGAAUUCGCAGUUGGCGUGUUAUUUACUUGUCACCGCGUCGCUAAGUGAUGGAGGACUUGGUGGCUGAAAGUCGUCGAAAGAGGAUCCAUAGAACUUCGCGAUGAGACUUUGCUUCUGCUUAUAUUACUCGCUCUUUUUGUUCAACGAUUUUUAUAGAGAAACAAAGUCUUUUCCUUUCGUGGAAUCAGCUAAGAUAAAGCAACUGCUUAGACACACGUGUAUGUAAUCUUUUGUGUUCACACGAGACACGUUGGAAUACUUUAUUAAAUAAACUUUCUAAGAGCAUAGGCUUCUAUUAAAGGAAUCACACAACUGUUCAACUCGGUAGCAAUUUCGAGAUGGAAGACUUUUGGUAAGGCUAUUAAAUUCCCUCGGCUACUUUCUAAGCUGUUCCUCGGACAACUGUUUAAACUAGUAAAGAAAGAAUUAGUUCGAAAGCAGUUGAGGGUCGAGUUCUGAACGAAGAAUCAUGAAAUCGAUUCAUGUGUUUAUACAUAUACAUAUAUUUAGUGGAUGUUUUUCCCUAAGAAUGAAACAAAUCAUCGUACCUACUUGAACUUCAGUUGAAUUUUGUGUCGUUAUUUUGACAAAUGUUAUCAAAUUUAUGGUCGAAAGAAGUUGGAAAGUAAGUUUUGUCGCCGCUUAUACUUGCUGACAGUCUGAACCACGCUCCAAGAUGUUUUAUUAUUUUGUUGAUAUCUUAUUUUUCUUUUAUUAUCGAACGUAGAAAGCAAGCGAAAUUAACUCGUUUCAGCUAUUAUGGAAUUUCUAAAUUUCUCCAGAAAAAUCUCAGCUUUUUCUGCAAAAAAAAAAUUCUUCCCCAAUUAGAAACAUCCAACUGUCGGUAUUAUCUGUAGCCUCAAUUACUUUUCACGCUAUUGGAACUCGAAAGCGAUUCAUCGAGUAAAUAUCCAAUUACAUCUUUCGCUGUUCCGCGUUCGAAGGAAAUUACCAAAAUCGUGCUAACUUUUGUUAAAAAAAAAAAAAAAAAAAGAAACAGAGGAACGUCUUUCCUUCUACAUAGGUUUGCAUCGUACUGUGCUUUCACUCCGUUGCUUCGAGAUGCCCCGCCCUUCCUGUUAGCACGACGAAUAAUCGCAAAGGUUGAAUAAUAGGAUCGAGCGCAAGUGUUUUGUGACGCAAUCAGUUUGGCAAGCCCGUUUGGC